RNAcentral lists this ribosomal RNA (582 nucleotides) under uncultured bacterium. RNAcentral's name for it is "bacterial SSU rRNA". It matches the Rfam family "Bacterial small subunit ribosomal RNA", at positions 8 to 585 of the family's 1533-position model. The record is from RNAcentral.
AGAGUUUGAUCCUGGCUCAGAUUGAACGCUGGCGGCAUGCCUUACACAUGCAAGUCGAACGGCAGCACGGAGCUUGCUCUGGUGGCGAGUGGCGAACGGGUGAGUAAUAUAUCGGAACGUACCCUAGAGUGGGGGAUAACGUAGCGAAAGUUACGCUAAUACCGCAUACGAUCUAAGGAUGAAAGUGGGGGAUCGCAAGACCUCAUGCUCGUGGAGCGGCCGAUAUCUGAUUAGCUAGUUGGUAGGGUAAAAGCCUACCAAGGCAUCGAUCAGUAGCUGGUCUGAGAGGACGACCAGCCACACUGGAACUGAGACACGGCCCAGACUCCUACGGGAGGCAGCAGUGGGGAAUUUUGGACAAUGGGCGAAAGCCUGAUCCAGCAAUGCCGCGUGAGUGAAGAAGGCCUUCGGGUUGUAAAGCUCUUUUGUCAGGGAAGAAACGGUGAGAGCUAAUAUCUCUUGCUAAUGACGGUACCUGAAGAAUAAGCACCGGCUAACUACGUGCCAGCAGCCGCGGUAAUACGUAGGGUGCAAGCGUUAAUCGGAAUUACUGGGCGUAAAGCGUGCGCAGGCGGUUUUGUA